AACGAACGCUGGCGGCAGGCUUAACACAUGCAAGUCGAACGGGCCCUUCGGGGUCAGUGGCAGACGGGUGAGUAACGCGUGGGAACGUGCCCUUCAGUUCGGGAUAACCCAGGGAAACUUGGGCUAAUACCGGAUACGUGCGAGAGCAGAAAGAUUUAUCGCUGAAGGAUCGGCCCGCGUCUGAUUAGCUGGUUGGUGGGGUAAUGGCCCACCAAGGCGACGAUCAGUAGCUGGUCUGAGAGGAUGAUCGGCCACAUUGGGACUGAGACACGGCCCGAACUCAUCCGGGAGGCAGCAGUGGGCAAUAUUGGGAAAUGGGCGCAAGCCUAGUCCAGCCAUGCCGCGUGAUUGAUGACGGCCUUAGGGUUGUAAAGCUCUUUCGCACGCGACGAUAAUGACGGUAGCGUGAGAAGAAGCCCCGGCUAACUUCGUGCCAGCAGCCGCCGUAA
This 449-nucleotide ribosomal RNA is filed under the name uncultured bacterium. RNAcentral's name for it is "partial 16S ribosomal RNA". It matches the Rfam family "Bacterial small subunit ribosomal RNA", at positions 29 to 523 of the family's 1533-position model. The record is from RNAcentral.